RNAcentral lists this ribosomal RNA (459 nucleotides) under uncultured bacterium. Its description in RNAcentral is "partial 16S ribosomal RNA". It matches the Rfam family "Bacterial small subunit ribosomal RNA", at positions 338 to 795 of the family's 1533-position model. The record is from RNAcentral.
CCUACGGGAGGCAGCAGUGAGGAAUAUUGGUCAAUGGGAGAGAUCCUGAACCAGCCAAGCCGCGUGAGGGAAGACGGCCCUAUGGGUUGUAAACCUCUUUUGUCGGAGAACAAAACCCGGGACGUGUCCCGGACUGCGUGUAUCCGAAGAAAAAGCAUCGGCUAACUCCGUGCCAGCAGCCGCGGUAAUACGGAGGAUGCGAGCGUUAUCCGGAUUUAUUGGGUUUAAAGGGUGCGUAGGCGGUCCGUUAAGUCAGCGGUAAAAUUGCGGGGCUCAACCCCGUCGAGCCGUUGAAACUGGCAGACUUGAGUUGGCGAGAAGUACGCGGAAUGCGUGGUGUAGCGGUGAAAUGCAUAGAUAUCACGCAGAACUCCGAUUGCGAAGGCAGCUUACUAAGCCAUAACUGACACUGAAGCACGAAAGCGUGGGGAUCAAACAGGAUUAGAUACCCUAGUAGUC